UGGGGGAUAUUGCACAAUGGGCGAAAGCCUGAUGCAGCGACGCCGCGUGGGGGAUGAAGGCCUUCGGGUUGUAAACUUCUUUUGCUCUGAACAAGGCAUGCUAAUGGGUGUGUUGAGUGUAGGGGUUGAUUAGCGCCGGCUAACUACGUGCCAGCAGCCGCGGUAAUACGUAGGGCGCGAGCGUUGUCCGGAAUUAUUGGGCGUAAAGGGCUUGUAGGUGGCUGGUUGCGUCUGUCGUGAAAGCUCAUGGCUUAACUGUGGGUUUGCGGUGGGUCCGGGCUGGCUUGAGUGCAGUAGGGGAGGCUGGAAUUCCUGGUGUAGCGGUGGAAUGCGCAGAUAUCAGGAGGAAUACCGGUGGCGAAGGCGGGUCUCUGGGCUGUUACUGACACUGAGGAGCGAAAGCAUGGGGAGCGAACAGG
Molecule: ribosomal RNA, 419 nt
Filed under: bacterium
Lineage: Bacteria
Description: partial 16S ribosomal RNA
Rfam family: Bacterial small subunit ribosomal RNA
Source: RNAcentral